RNAcentral lists this long non-coding RNA (245 nucleotides) under Mytilus galloprovincialis (Mediterranean mussel). Lineage: Eukaryota; Metazoa; Mollusca; Bivalvia; Mytilida; Mytilidae. The record is from RNAcentral.
UAAUAUAGCAGACAAUUUGAUGUUCUCAUAGUUGUUGAAAAUUUUCAGUUGUGGUUGAAAUGGUUAUUAAAAACUUUUUCUGAUCUUUGGUCGUGUUGUUGUCUCUUUGACACAUUCCCCGUUUACAUUCUCGAUUUUAUUUUAAUGAUUAUGAGAUCAACAGUAAAAAUAAUACCACGCAUGUUAGAGGAAACGUCAUUAAUUAAUGUGCACGAAAAAGAAUACUUCAUUUAAGAAUAUUCAUA